This is a long non-coding RNA of Canis lupus familiaris (dog), 1437 nucleotides long. RefSeq lists it as uncharacterized. The record is from RefSeq and is a predicted model, not a curated record. The transcript is spliced from 7 exons. Lineage: Eukaryota; Metazoa; Chordata; Mammalia; Carnivora; Canidae.
GUUCUAGAACACAGUAGAACUGGAAUGGGGAGACACCACCAACAGAGAGGGAGUUAGAAGACUGGUACAGCACGUGAAGGGGAAGGAGAAAGAGAAAUGUAUUCAGGCCUCUGGCCAAGCCCCAUCGAUAGCUGAAACACAGCAUGCAACCUCAAGGAAGAAAGCCCUUCAGAAUGCCUGCAUAUUCAUUUAAACUUCAGCUGAGAAUAACAUCUCCUCCAGGUCAAGUAUAAGGUGCCUGUGAAGGGAUGCAAGUUCUAGAAUUGGAGCCCAGUUUGAAGCCUUCCAGAAACCUCAAAGAAGAAUUUAAUUCAGAGGUCCAGCCACAUAACCAAAGAAUGCUCCCAUGAGAAGGACACUGCUGUGGGCACCAAACUCGAAGGAACAAGUGAAACAGCUUGAGUUUUGCCGUCGACAUCAUAAAUCUCCUCCAAACGGUUAAAGACACAUCAGAGUCCAGACCAGAAGAAGCAUGAAGGCUGAACCACAGAUCCAUAGUCAGAAGCAAUAUCUAAGAUGGACUGCAUCUUACUGAUAUCUUCUUCACAAACUCUUCCAAGAGUUCUUGAAGAGUUCUUGAACUAUAUAAAGAUACUAUGCUACCUCAACUUCUCUGAACCAGCACAGGGCUGAGAUUUAAAUGGAACAAUGUCUAUAAAGAGCUCAGAAUGGUGGCCACAUGCCCAAGGAUGGCAUCAAGGCAGCAGAGAGAGCAAUGGACCUGUGAGGGCCAUCUUGAUAGGACACAGAUACAUCUCCAAAGCGCCCUAAUUAGAGGGGCCUAAUGAAAUGAAAAUAUGGAGGAGAGGAAGAAAAGAGAUUUUUUUAUAAUAAGAUUAUUUUGGGAAUACAGACAAACAGCCACAUACCCCCUCAGGGUUGAUCCAGCAUUUUGCCUUGCCAGCCUCUUUAAACCAUUUUAGAACAAAUACAGCUCAAGAGUUCCAUGAACCACCUAGAAUAUAUAAAGAAAAUAGGAUAAGAGGCAGAGUACUCUAAAGACCUCUGUAACCCCGAGUCAUCAUGGGUUUUUUUCAAAGCUUAUGCUACUCUUUACUUAAUUACAUUUGCUACUAAGAAGCGUUGAGUGUUAAGAAGUUGGAAAUGAAAUUGGCUAAUCUGUAUACCUUCUAUUGUACCAGAAGAAACUGAGCCCCAAAGCAUUGAAUGAAUUGUCCUAGAACACACAGAAGUCUGGUGAUGAUAACAGGGUAAUGCUCAAUUUUGCCAAGAUUGCCACAACAUCAAGUACGGUAUCUGUGCACACUUCUAUGAAUUUCUAUAGGUCGGUACACUACUCAUCCUUUUCUUACACAACAAAAAACCUUUAGAAAAACACCUAUUAUAUUUCUUUUCCCUGAUCCAUGCUUGCUUGGUCCCCUGAGACUAAUUCAGAGCAAAUAAAAAACCUUACAAACAAGUCUUAGAAAUGUGACU